GCGGGGAUGGCUGAGUCUGGCCAAAGGCGGCGGACUUAAGAUCCGCUCUCGUAGGAGUUCGUGGGUUCGAAUCCCUCUCCCCGCA
Molecule: transfer RNA, 85 nt
Filed under: Halobacteriales archaeon QH_7_65_31
Lineage: Archaea; Methanobacteriati; Methanobacteriota; Halobacteria; Halobacteriales
Also listed under: 3 other names
Description: tRNA-Leu
Rfam family: tRNA
About the family: Transfer RNA (tRNA) molecules are approximately 80 nucleotides in length. Their secondary structure includes four short double-helical elements and three loops (D, anti-codon, and T loops).
Source: RNAcentral